GGAACAAAUAGAUGAUGAUGAUGAUGAUGAUGAUGAUGAUAUUGUGGGAGAGUGGACCAGAUGAUCCUCAGGGUCCCUUCCACCCCACUAUUCUUUAAGUUGCAAUUCACUAUGGGAAUGUUAGAUGCAGGGCUGCCAUCAUCCCCUCAGCUUGCUAGGAUCGCAGGGACGGGGACAUGUGGACCACUUGUGCAGCUCUACAUUUCAAAUGGAAAUUCCCUGAGCUAUGGAACCUUAAGCUGGUAUGCAGGAAGCUGGCCCGGCAGCAGCUUUGUUGGGACUUUUUAGGGUUUCUGGCCGGCGUUGGCCCUGCAAAUUUACACAUCAUGGUGGCAACACAAGGCAGGGCAUUUUGCCCAAUGUGGGGGCUGGGGGCUAGCAAGCAAUAACUCAAUACCUCUCGCCCAUAUUUCCAUAAAAAUAUCUUCCUUGAAAGCCUGGCCAAAUGGUUAUCUAGAUAGGUCAGUGGUUUUGUGCUUGUGGGAAGGGUUUUCCCAAGGUUUGGGAUUCCUCUGGCUCUUCAGCCAGUGGCUCAGAAUACAGCAACUCAAAGCCAGUCAGAGAGCUACCUGUGGUAGCAAGUAAGAAGGUUAGGAAGCAGCUUUCAUUGGGACGUAUGGUGGUAUCCCCUUGAUUCUCCUGCUAUUCCUAUUUUCAUUUAUCCCCUUUGGGGAUCGUCCCUAAGAAAGCCCCAUAUAAUCCCCCAUAUAAUUUAUCGCAUCCCAAAGGCACCUCAGUGAAUGACUCUCUGGAAUUGUUCCGCAAAAUAUGCAUCUUUGGAUCAGGCAGUUGAGCUUACCAACAUAUUGGAAGAGGGCCUUGUUGGCAUUAUGCGAUUUUGAAUUGACUGUUAGGCUGCUGCCGGUUCACCCUCAAGAUUAUAAGUAGUUGGGCUUAAUUGGAUGGUCCUUACACUUAUAAGGCGAUGCCAAUGGGUUGCGCUAUAGGCUGUGCAGCACUCGAGUCCUUUAGCGUCUUUCUGGAUUGAACAUUGCAAGUCAAGACUUGUUUAACUGGGGGUACCAUUAUUUGGAUUAUCUUACUAGUUGGUUCAUGUGAAACCAGCCUCUGCUAAGGCUUACUGUACGCCCCUUUUAUUCCCUGAGGAGCUGGGUGUUCCCAGUGGAUAGGACAGUGGCUCCUACUGCCCCUUUUAAUGUAUUUGGGGGCUAGCUGGAUACCGUUGCUCGUACCUCUGCUUGCCUGUGGAAAAGCUGUUUGCCGUGAAGGACGUUAUUCUUGUAAUACUUCCUCUGAUAGCAAAUGUUGCUUUGUCAGAUUCUAUCAUUGCUAGGUCAGUAAAAAAAAAAAAGUGGCAUGCAGGGUGGUUGUUCCAGGCUGCCCCUUCCAUUCCUGCUUGGCCAGGUGGGGUCUCAUGGCCCAGGGUCCCUUCAUCAUCCUGUACAGUGGCCUUGAGCCUGGCAGGGCAAGGCAAUCACAUGUGACCUAACUUUUCUUGAGUUUUCCCCAUUGUAGUCUCAGCGCACAUCUGGACUGAGGAGUACAGGGACCAUCGGGUCUGUCUUGGUCUGAUAACCAGGCAGUGUGAGGGUCCUGGCAAAAUGGUCCUCAUGCUUCGGCAGAGUCUCCGUCCCCUUUUAUGUGCUUUCCAGCUGCACUGCUUAAGGUUUAAUAUUGCGUUUCUGCUCGCUUUAUUACGGGAUCAUCUAAUGUUUUCGCUGUCACUCUAUCCCGUUUUCAGUUGGAGAGCUUCAGAUCCUGGCCUCUGGAUGCCCAGCUAUAGCCGGAUUUUCUGGAGCUCCUGUGGCGCUUUGGCAACAAUUGAUAAUUAAGAGGAGUAGUAGCUUACAUUUCCCCUUCUGCUUUCAGGCCUGGACUGAUUUCUUAGCAUUUAGCUGGCAGUCCUCGGCCAUUCAGAGGAACUUGCCUCCAUCCUCUGAGCAGGACCUGCAGUAAUUGGACUACCUGCUGCAGAUCGGAUGCACUGUUAAAACUAUCAGAAUUCAGUCCACUGCAAUGUCUGCUAGAGUAAAGCUUUAAUUUUUCAGAGACCCUUCUAAAAGUGUGUCGUGCGCAGGGUCUCGGAAGGUUGUAGAAGGCUCCAGCCUUCACAGGACUGCAGGCAGGAAGCCGGUCAAUCUUGACCUAUGCAGUAUCCGCAACAAGUUAAGACUUGUCUCCUGCUUCUAGAUCUAGACGAGACUUCUUUCAGUAUUCCAUUGUAAUUUUGGUGUACUGAGGGUUGGGGAAAUUGUGUUGGAGCCAGCACAGGGCUGAGAGUUUGGAGGCUUAUUGCCUCUGGAUUUUUCCUUAUCUGCUUUGGAGCUUGUCAUAAGUGUCUGGAGCUCUAAGUCAGACCUAGUGGGCUGGGUUGCCAUCAUCGGGCUUCCAGUCACAGGUAGGUGGGCCCUUGCCCUGUUAUUGGAUACCAGAAAUAUUUGGCUUUUCGUUCCCCUGGGGGCUGGCUCGAUCCUAGAAGUUGCUGGUUCUCGUGGGUUGCUCCUUCGGGAUAUAUGCGUUUCCCUUUGGAGUUGAGACUUGUAGUGCGCAACUCCAAAACUGACCAGCUGGGUCGGGGGGGAGGUUGUCCGCCUCCCAGCGACUGGGGAGGUGGGCCCGUGCCCGGUCAGGGAUGUAAGGAAGUACUUGGCCUUGAGACCUCCUGGGGAUGGCCCCCUACUCAUGCAUGAAAAUGGUCACCCUUUGGCGCGACACCAGUUCACAAAAGUCAUGCGUAAGGCCAUCUCUGCUUGUGGGAUCUCGGCCUCUGGUUUCGCCCCUCAUUCCUUUCGCAUAGGUGCAGCAACUAUGGCGGCCCAUUGGGGCUUCUCAGGCGCCAGGAUCAAGGAUUUGGGGAGAUGGAAAUCGUAUGCUUUCAAGGGUUAAGUGCGAAACAAAAUGCUGAGUUUGGUACUAAUGCUUGUUUGUUUCAACCCUUGCAGAUCCCACGCUGGUCCGCGUCUGGAUAGUGGGACACAGCAUCGUUCAUUGGGCUGGCAGCAGAGCGAGGCAGUCUGCAAGGGAGCGUGUCUCGGCCUCCCACAGCACGUGCAAGUGUCAUGGUUUUCCAGACGUGGAAUGUCAUGGGGAGAGCUUAUGCCGCUGAUUGGUCGCCGGCUGCUCUCGGACCUGCCCACCCUAUGGCCAUAGUGGUGCAGCUGGGGAAAAAAUGAUGUGGCAACUAUUGAUUGCCUUGCUUUGCGCACCUCAGUCCAAAAGGGAUUUGGAGGCAUUGGCAGCCUUAUUACCUUCAGUGAGAAUAAUUUGGUCUCACCUGUUGCAGAGGCAAACCUGGCACGGUGUUUCCCGCCCAGAGGCCGCUGAAAGGGCCAGGAAGCGCAUUAACUCUGCUGUUUGCGUGAAGGUAUUGGAGCUGGGUGGUUUGGUGAUUUCGCACCCAGACAUUAAUUUUAAGGCUGAGGCCCUUUACCGGGCAGAUGGAGUGCACCUCUCCGAUUUGGGGAAUGAUGUUUGGCUGCAUGCGGUGGCUACUAAAUUGGGUUCAUGGUUGGGUUUGUGAGUGGUUGGCGGCGAGCGUUAGAGCUCGUGUGGCGGUUAGGCAUUGGUUAUAAUAUGCUGGUGGUGGAGGGGUCAGGAUAGGCCGUGCCUGCCCCUCCCAUUGCGCUGAAGGGAAUUCCGUUAAAGGAAUCCUGGGGCUUGCCAUGAUUUCGUCCAAUCCCUGUCAUGGGACCAGGGCCGCCCAAUCCCUGUCAUGGGAAUCCUUGUCAUAGGAUCUGGGCCGGCAAGCUUUUGGGGAGCUGCUGGGGUGAGCGGCGUGGGUCCGACGCUUAGCUCAAAUGACCCCCAGUUUGACUUUCUCUUCUACUGGCUACCGAUCAGACCUCGGGAUGUCAGUUCUGUCCCAGGCGGGGGGACAGAUAGUCAUAACCAAUGUCUAAACAACCACUCACUGAUUUUGUAUUUUAAUAAAGUUGUGGCCAAAAUAGUGCCC
RNAcentral lists this long non-coding RNA (3913 nucleotides) under Podarcis lilfordi (Lilford's wall lizard). Lineage: Eukaryota; Metazoa; Chordata; Lepidosauria; Squamata; Lacertidae. The record is from RNAcentral.